Molecule: ribosomal RNA, 206 nt
Filed under: uncultured bacterium
Lineage: Bacteria
Description: partial 16S ribosomal RNA
Rfam family: Bacterial small subunit ribosomal RNA
Source: RNAcentral
CGCGUAGGCGGCGAAGUGUGUCCGGUGUGAAAUCCCCCGGCUUAACCGGGGAAGUGCGUCGGAAACUACUCCGCUUGAGGGUAGCAGAGGAGAGUGGAACUGCUGGUGUAGCGGUGAAAUGCGUAGAUAUCAGCAGGAACGCCGGAGGCGAAAGCGACUCUCUGGCUACUCCUGACGCUGAGGCGCGAAAGCCAGGGGAGCGAACG